This 3161-nucleotide long non-coding RNA is filed under the name Bemisia tabaci. RNAcentral describes it as "lncRNA ENSSSA1NGG006139". Lineage: Eukaryota; Metazoa; Arthropoda; Insecta; Hemiptera; Aleyrodidae. The record is from RNAcentral.
CAAAAAAGGGUUGCUGUGAAUCAGAGGAGGAGUGGACAAAGUUCUGGAAAGGGUAUAACUGGUGCAAGGCAACCUCCAAAGAUAAGUCAAAAUCCUCCCAUGAAUACACGCCCAAAUCCUGGUAAAGGAGGCCCUAAAGCUUCCUCGACAAAAUUUCGGCAACCAACGCCAGGAAAACGUCAGGAUGGUAACGCUUAUGGAAAUAAUCGCAAUUCCCAGUCGAAUCUCCUGCGGAAAAACGGCGGUGCACAGAGUACAAAGAAGGGUAGACAAACCCCGAAGCUGGACCCCAAGAGAAGUGAAAGCCCAAAAAUUAAACAGACAAGCCGCAAAGGAGGCCCUAAUGGUCCCGCGGAAGGCAACAAUGGAGGCUACAACGGAGCAGGCAGAGCACCUGGCAACAAUGGGCAGAAUGGGGGCCGCAAUGGAGGAGGAAGGACACCUGGCAACAAUGGAGGCCCCAACGGAGGGAGCAGAGCACCUGGCAACAAUGGCCAGAAUGGAGGCCGCAACGGAGGGGGCAAAACACCGGGCAAGAAUGGCUACAAUGUAGGCCCCAAUGGAGGAGGAAAAUCACCUGGCAAACCUUAUUCCGGAGCAGGAAACAGACCACCUGGAGGAGGCGGAGGAGGAAAUUACCCUGGCGCAGGAAAUGGGGCAGGAUAUAGAAACCCGCCAAAAGAAGACAGUGAAGAAGAUGACUCUGAAGAAGAAAGCAAUAAUCGACGCCGCAAUGGAGGAGAUAAUAUACCUGGCAACAAUGGCUACAAUGGAGGCCGCAAUGGAGGAGGAAGAACACCUGGCAACAAUGGAGGCCCUAACGGAGGGAGCAGAGCACCUGGCAACAAUGGCCAGAAUGGAGGCCGCAACGGAGGGGGCACAACACCUGGCAAGAAUGGCUACAAUGUAGGCCCCAAUGGAGGAGGAAAAUCACCUGGCAAACCUUAUUCCGGAGCAGGAAACAGACCACCUGGGGGAGGCGGAGGAGGAAAUUACCCUGGCGCAGGAAAUGGGGCAGGAUAUAGAAACCCGCCAAAAGAAGACAGUGAAGAAGAUGACUCUGAAGAAGAAAGCAAUAAUCGACGCCGCAAUGGAGGAGAUAAUAUACCUGGCAACAAUGGCUACAAUGGAGGCCGCAAUGGAGGAGGAAGAACACCUGGCCAAAAUGGAGGCCGUAACGGAGGGGACACAACACCUGGUAAGAAUGGCCAGUAUGGAGGCCCCAAUGGAGGAGGAAAAUCACCUGGCAAACCUUAUUCCGGAGCAGGAAACAGACCGGCUGGGGGAGGCGGAGGAGGAAAUUACCAAGGCGGAGGAAAUGGGGCAGGAUAUAGAAACCAGAAAGAAGACAGUGAAGAAGAUGACUCGAGAGAAGAUGACAGUCGUGAAUCAGGCAGCUAUGGAGGAAAAAAGAAAAACCCUUAUCAAACAGGCCCCGAUAGAACAAAUCCGCGAGCGCCUGCACCUACGCCAGAUAGUAGCAAUCGGACUGGCAACGGAAAAGAUGGGACGGGACAGAAUCCAUAUCGAACUCCUAGCCGCCCGAAGACUCCAUCAGGAAAGGUGCCUAUAGAUACCAACACAGGACAAACGGUCCCUCCAAACGGGGUACUUGAAGAUCCUGUAACCCGGAGACAGGAGGUCGUGCCGCCAGGCAGUGAAGUGGUCACAAACCAGAAAACUGGGGAGCAAGUGGUUGUGCCUCCGGAUAAACAGGUCGACCCCUUGACGGGCCAUACAUAUCUGCCGAACCACACCGCACCGAAACCGGUAAUUACUGACGAGGGCGCUUGCCCGCAAGCUCAGGGAAACCAUGAAGAUCCAAAGGUACCGCCGCACAACGAGUACGAAAACCAUAAUCGACCGCCGCCAGCACCAGUGCACCAAAACCAGAACGAACCGCCGCCAGUACCAGGAUACCAAAACCAGAAUGGGCCACAAUUGGACCAAUACGGAAGACCGAUAGUACCACCGCAGGACGAGUACCAAAACCAGAAUGGACCACAAUUCGACCAAUACGGAAGACCGAUAGCACCACCGCGGGACGAGCACCAAAACCAGAAUGGACCACAAUAUGACCAAUACGGAAGACCGAUAGCACCACCGCGGGACGAGUACCAAAACCAGAAUGGACCACAAUAUGACCAAUACGGAAGACCGAUAGCACCACCGCGGGACGACUAUCCGAACAGGCCACAGUUGGACCAAUACGGACGACCGAUACCGCCGCGAUAUGAGGACGCGAGGGAUCAAAGGAACGGGCGGUAUGAAGAUGGUGAAAAUGAAUACAGCGAGGAAGAUGAGGACACGGCUGAAGAUGAACCUGACUUUGAUCCUGAUACGAUCGAUCCAAGAGACUUAAGUCCACAAGAUCUCGCAAUUUGGAAACAGGCGAAAAAGGAGAAAGAUGCAAGGCUGCGGGCCGAAGCUGAGGAGGAAAGACGUAACCAACGGUAUCCAAACAAUAAUUUAGGAUACCAGAACAAUAAUCAAGGAUACCAGAACAAUAAUCAAGGAUACCAGAACAAUAAUCAGCGGCAUCAGAACGAUGAUCGAGAGUAUGCGGGAAACGAGUACGGUCGCCAGGGCGAUAAUAGAGUCGUUGAUAAUCAAGGAGGGUAUCAGCGCAAUAACCGAGAUUACUAACGCAAUGAGAGAGUUUUCGUUGAUCUAUAUUGCUACCGCGAUCAGGAUAAUCUUGAGAGAGAGUGAAACCAACGUUAAAACCCGUUCACUGCGAAAUUAUUCAGGGGACUCCAAUAAAAUUUUCCAAGCGCUGAUUCGAACUACGCUAAUCUUACUCUAUAGUAUAAAAUCAUAAGGGUGCCGUGUCACACUGAGGGUAUCACGCUGAGGGUGUCACGCUGAGGGUGUAACGCUAAUUAUGUCACAAACCGGUUUCUCCUCUACUCCCCGCUCCCCUCCCACCCCGCACGCUCACAUGCUUCCCGCCGUCCUCAAACCGGGUUUUCCCUAACUCUUAAUGAUCUUUUAACGAUCUCACGAUAUCUGCACAUUAGAGGCGCGAAGCGCCUCUGGGGGGUUGGACCGCGGAGCGGUCAGGGGGCGCAGCCCCCUAGUUUUUUUUAAAAAAAUUAAGUCCUUUCAAAAUCUGACCAGCAAAACCCUUGGAUGUCCAUUGCAAUGGACAAAGGAAGUCA